Molecule: long non-coding RNA, 3831 nt
Organism: Formica exsecta
Lineage: Eukaryota; Metazoa; Arthropoda; Insecta; Hymenoptera; Formicidae
Exons: 4
Source: RefSeq, a predicted model, not a curated record
AAGAGGAGGUUAUCGCUGAUAACGUAGGGGGUGUUCAAGGGCUGUCGAGAUGUUUGAUUGUUCAUACGCAAGUAGGUCUCAGACUUCUCGACAUUUGCGGUCCAUUUGUGAUCGCGACAAGGGGGAGUUUUUAGUAGGUGCAAGUUCCACACUACCUGACCACACCGGGUGGUCAGGUGUGCAUAAUGCAUUUUCUCCUCCUAUCGCAAAAAAAAGGUUAGGUUGGGGGUCGCUCUUGGGGCGUUCUAAGACUAAGUCCACUGACAGUUGAGUGCUCCGAAAUUGUGGAGUAACUCCGGUUUAGAGUGCGUUAAACCGAAAAUAAAGUGUGCCGAAACGUGUUUCGAGUGUUUGCGCGUCGAAUAAGACAAUAAUAUUUUUUGCUCCGAUUUCUAGUUAUUAAUUAUAAGGCUGAAAUGAAUCCGGUAAUGAGCUGUGCGCGUAAUAGCGGACAUAGGAAGCCUUGUCAGCAUAGCGGUGAUGUGGCAAAAUCAGUGAACAAUAUACUAUGCGCCCCGGAGCGACCCCCAGAGUUUGUGAUUGUCUGUAUUUUUAUGGUAGUAUUGUUUUGUAUCGCUGUGAUCUUUGGUUGAAGUUAGUUUAUUAACAUUAGUGUGAUGUGCAUAAAAUGCAAGAUGUCGGAGAAUCUACAGAGCCACGUUCAUGCCGUGUGACGUCACGUCAGCAUGAAAUGGCCGGCCGGCCCUCGGCUCGAGAAGAUGUCUCGCAACCUUGCCUCCUGUUGGUUUCAAUAAUUUGCAGAAUAGAAACUUCAACCUCCUAGUUGAAUUAAUUAGACCGAGGUACCGUGUAUUGUGUGCUCGGUGCACUGGCGGAGUUUCUGAGUUUAUUAUUAAUAUUGGGGAAGAGAAAAAUACAGGAUAAGAUAGACGAGCUGGCCUGUAUGUGAUAAUUAAGAAGGCCACAUUGCUGGAAGCGGUUAUUGUGUUAAACGUGGGAGGAGAGGUUGGCUGUAAGCCCUGAAACGGGAUGCGUGUCUGAGAUGUUCCAGUUCGCAUCUGAAGAUCCUAGGUAAUUGGUAACAUGUGGGAGAGACUGCGUUGAUAGUGCUAAUUAAAUGACGCUGAAUUACAUAUAUGUAGGAAUGUUGCGCUGGGAUGUAUAAACCCUAAAUUAUAUGGAUUGCAUCGUCAACGUCCGGAAGCUGCUUCCCUUCAUCAAGGGAAGUUGCCGAAAGGAACUUUGGAUAUGUGCAUCGAGUCUUGAGAUAUUGCUAGUGCUGAAAUCGAAUACAAUAGUAUGAGAAAGAAAUGUCAGGGAACUGGCGAUGCGUUGUGUAUUGUUAUGCUUAAAUCUGAUAAGAAGUAUCUCUGACUUUAUGGAAUUAUUCCUCGGAAUGGAGUGUCGUUGAUAAACUGAAAUCGUUUCAUUUCUCGAAAGGAAUUUACAAAAGUUGUAAAGUCAAACAAAGGUCUCUAUUUAUGAAUGUGAAGAACUAGCUGAUUGCUAGGAAGGUGACUGUUGAUGUUAUUCUUAACUAGAAUUCUUAAAAAGGCUGAGUUUGUUUUCAUGAGAACUGUUCAACUGGAAUGGCAUUUUUAAGUAAUGGAGGCGAUAUGUUUAAUUAGACUUUAAUGCAGUACUAUUGUAAUAAAAAGAUAAGAUACUUAGUUUGACUAAAUGAGAUUAGUAAGAUAAGCGCACGCGUAUUGGUGAUAUUGGGAGUUGGAGUCGUCAUAAUAAUUAUGAUUUUGAAUUCUAAUUUUAAUUUAAAUUAAUUAAAUUGAUUUAACUUAAUUCAAUAUAAGUAAAUAUUUUAAGUAGUUGACAGAAUGCUGGGUUCGGGCUCUGAACCCAGCUUAAGGAUGAAAAAGAUGAGCGCACGCGUAUUGGUGAUAUUGGGAGUUGGAGUCGUCAUAAUAAUUAUGAUUUUGAAUUCUAAUUUUAAUUUAAAUUAAUUAAAUUGAUUUAACUUAAUUCAAUAUAAGUAAAUAUUUUAAGUAGUUGACAGAAUGCUGGGUUCGGGCUCUGAACCCAGCUUAAGGAUGAAAAAGAUGAGCGCACGCGUAUUGGUGAUAUUGGGAGUUGGAGUCGUCAUAAUAAUUAUGAUUUUGAAUUCUAAUUUUAAUUUAAAUUAAUUAAAUUGAUUUAACUUAAUUCAAUAUAAGUAAAUAUUUUAAGUAGUUGACAGAAUGCUGGGUUCGGGCUCUGAACCCAGCUUAAGGAUGAAAAAGAUGAGCGCACGCGUAUUGGUGAUAUUGGGAGUUGGAGUCGUCAUAAUAAUUAUGAUUUUGAAUUCUAAUUUUAAUUUAAAUUAAUUAAAUUGAUUUAACUUAAUUCAAUAUAAGUAAAUAUUUUAAGUAGUUGACAGAAUGCUGGGUUUGGGCUCUGAACCCAGCUUAAGGAUGAAAAAAAGGAAAUUUUGAUUCUGGCUAGAAGCGCAUGGAUUGUUGUCGUAAAUGAAUUAUUGUAUUGCAUUGUACUGUAUUAUUAUGGAGUGAUCGAUGUUAACAAUGAUGACAGGAUAAUAUGAUUUGAAUGUUUGAAUGAUGACGAGCGGAAAAUGCGAAUGUUCGAUUUCCGCUCGAUUAAUGGUGACAGUAUCUACGAGCGGGAAUAAGUAUAAGUAAUCAUAAUGACUAAUUGAGAAUUGUGUGAUGUAAUGAAUACGUGUUUGAAGGAAAUGUUAGAGAUUGAAUCUACAAAUAAAUUCUAAAUCUGAGAUUAUUAGAAUUACGAGGAGACUUAAAUUGUCCAGUAAUGAGAAUCGUACAUGGAAUCGUCAGAAGUUGAAAUCUAUUAUAGGUAGUUUGAAUUUUGAUUUUAAUUGAUGUAGUAUGGAUUUCAGAAUACUUUGGAGUCUCUGACAUUAACUGAAUUAUGAAGAGGUAGAAUUAACUAUUGAUAGGAUUUUAUAAAGGAGAGUUUGUAUGACAAUGAGGAGGAUAUGAUGUAAUAUAUUGAUUUGAGUAAAUGAGCAAACGAUAUGGUGAAUUUAUCACAAAUAACUAAAUCUAAAUUCGGAUUUCUAAUGAAUGCAGUCCUUAAAUAUUUUGUAAUUCAUGAGAGUAACUGAAUUUUAAGGAGAUAAAAUUAGUGAUGAGAGUUGUAUAAGGGAGGGUCUGUGUUACUAUACAACAAUAGAAAGAAUCUGAUUAGCAAUAAACUUUAAUUUGAGCAAAGAUAUGGCAAUUAUAAUGACUAAUUGAGAACUGUGUAUAAUAAUGAAUACGUAUUUGAUGGGAUUGUUAGAGACUGAAACUUAUUAUUAAUAACUUCUAAAUUUGAUCUCUAAAUAAUUGUUUAAACUGCACAAACUCUUGAUUAUUGCAAACUCUGAGAUUUUUAGAACUUUGAGGAGACUGAAACUUCUAGCAAGACUGAUAGCGUCUCGAUGCCUUGCAAUUGAGAGGUGUGUCUCUGUAUUGUGAGAUGAGUGGUUUGUCGCUCCCUUCUGGCUGGAAUUAUAAUUCUGGCAUCUGUAAAUAAAAAAUAGAAGAUAAUAGCUGCAAAAUUGUUAAUUAUUUAUAGUUAAUUAUUAAGUAAUUAUUAAUUAUUAGCAAUAGGAAAGGAAUAGUUUAGUAUUUAUGAUGAGGAAAUGGCGUUGAUUUAGACUCGAAUAUCUAAUGUUAUUAUUGCGAAUCUGUUGUUGUCAUGCGUAUGCAAAAUGAAGAGGAUUAAUUAGAAAAGAAAAUGCGAUACACAGUCUUAGCGACAGGCAUGAGUGGAGUGGCGUGGUAUUAUAACAUUGAGGCAUAUAUAUACAUUUAUAGCUAAUACUGUGUUAACAAAGCAUAUGGUUUAUUCGAGCAUCGUGCAGGAGCGCUAGGAGUUAAAAUGAAAUGGUUAUUGUAAAUAAAGUACAAAUAC